GCUGGGUGUGGUGGCGUACACCUGUAGUCCCAGCUACUUGGGAGGCUGAGGCAGGAGAAUCGCUUCAACCCAGGAGGCAGAGGCUGCAGUGAGCCAAGAUCGUGCCACUGCACUCCAGCCUGGGUGACAGAGUGACACUCUGUCUCAA
Molecule: non-coding RNA, 148 nt
Filed under: Homo sapiens (human)
Lineage: Eukaryota; Metazoa; Chordata; Mammalia; Primates; Hominidae
Source: Rfam by way of RNAcentral